Molecule: ribosomal RNA, 839 nt
Filed under: uncultured eukaryote
Lineage: Eukaryota
Description: SSU rRNA
Rfam family: Eukaryotic small subunit ribosomal RNA
Source: RNAcentral
CGGUGUUCAACUGGCGUGCCCGCGGGACGUCCUGCCGGUGAGCUCAGCCCGCGAGGGCGGCUCAACUUGAAAUCCCAUCGCGGUGCUCUUCAUUGAGUGUCGAGGUGGGCCGGCACGAUUACUUUUGAACAAAUUAGAGUGCUUAAAGCAGGCUAAAAUUUUGCCUGAAUACUGUGUAUAUGGAAUAAUGGAAUAGGACCUCGGUUCUAUUUUGUUGGCUUUCGGAACCCCGAGGUAAUGAUUAAUAGGAACGGAUGGGGGCAUUCGUAUUGCGACGUUAGAGGUGAAAUUCUUGGAUCGUCGCAAGACGGACUAAAGCGAAAGCAUUUGCCAAAAACGCUUUCAUUGAUCAAGAACGAAAGUUAGAGGUUCGAAGGCGAUCAGAUACCGCCCUAGUUCUAACCAUAAACUAUGCCAGCUAGCGAUCCGCCGACGUCCCUCUGAUGACUCGGCGGGCAGCUUCCGGGAAACCAAAGCUUUUGGGUUCCGGGGGAAGUAUGGUUGCAAAGCUGAAACUUAAAGGAAUUGACGGAAGGGCACCACCAGGAGUGGAGCCUGCGGCUUAAUUUGACUCAACACGGGAAACCUCACCAGGCCCAGACACUGGAAGGAUUGACAGAUUGAGAGCUCUUUCUUGAUUCAGUGGGUGGUGGUGCAUGGCCGUUCUUAGUCGGUGGAGCGAUUUGUCAGGUUAAUUCCGAUAACGGACGAGACUCUGACCUGAUAACUAGACGCACUUGCGGCAUCUCAAAGGUCCGCCGGCGGCUGGCUUUGCGCCCGUCGUCGCGCGCGAUUUUUACUGCCGGCGUACAAUAAAUUCUUCUUAGAGGGACAAGUGG